Molecule: long non-coding RNA, 215 nt
Filed under: Solanum tuberosum (potato)
Lineage: Eukaryota; Viridiplantae; Streptophyta; Magnoliopsida; Solanales; Solanaceae
Description: long non-coding RNA (STUB_LNC008987)
Source: RNAcentral
CAUUUGAUGACUUCUCCUUGCAUUGCUUUUGCUACCACCGACAUGCAAAACUCUAAGUUUCUUUCUAUUUUUUACAUUUUGUGCACUUUAUUUCUGUAAUUCUCAAACAUAAAUUUAAUUACAUGUAAUAGAAGGGCACAAUUUCACAAGAUGUAGGACACAAGUUCUUAAAGCUAUAUAAAUCGCUUUAACACAGCCAACACCAACAAUAUUAC